Long non-coding RNA from Lycium barbarum (goji berry), 941 nucleotides. RefSeq lists it as uncharacterized. The record is from RefSeq and is a predicted model, not a curated record. NCBI's taxonomy places the organism in Eukaryota, Viridiplantae, Streptophyta, Magnoliopsida, Solanales, Solanaceae. The transcript has 2 exons.
CUUUGCCCUUCUCUCUCUUCCCUUUUUCUUGCAAAAACCCGAGAAGCCGCCAUCGUUUUCUCUUUCUCUCUAGUCCUAAAAAUGGUAAAUUUGUAGAGUAAGAAUGAAAUACACAGAUUUUGCAGCACCAUUGGCGUGAAACAAACUAAUUCCAAGAUUUAUUUUUGCCCAGAUCUUUCCAAAAUCGGUAAUAUACUUUUCUUUUUUAAAACUAUUCAACUAAAAGUCGAUUAUUGUUGUCCUAUUUGUAGUAUUAUGUUCAUUGUUGCUCGAUUUCUGUUGAUUUGAGGUGAAUGGUUUGGAUCGAGUCCCAUGAGGCUCAGAUCCGACCAUUCACUUGCUGUUAAGUCGUUUUAAGCCAUAGAUUAGCUUUACAAGGUUAUUUACUAGGAAAGUUUAGUUGUCCCACAUCAGUAUUUUGAGGGUUUUAACAAUUUUUGGGGUUAGAACCCCACCCUCACCAUGAAAGAAGGUCGAAAAAAAUUAGGGAAAAACAAAAAGUGGCUAGAAACAUCGAAUUCAAGCCUCUUAGUAUAAAAAUUUUAAGACUUUGACUUAAGUUGAGGUUUUUUCUUAGUUCUAAAAUUUGUUUCUUACUUGUUUUGAGUUUGGUGUGGCUGAGUGUGGGUUUUGGAAGUACAAAAAGGCUUUCAAGUUCAAUCUUGACCACCACUGCACUUUAAAAAGGUAGACAGGGAGGCGAGCUUGAGCCAGAUCCGUAGGAGCUGAUAGCAGAUUGUUCCGGAGGUGCUUGAUUAUUAUUUUGUGUAUAUUUGUAUAUUUUGGGCUUGACGGGGUCCUGUCCCGUCUAUGUGUGUUGUAUUCCAGUAAAGGCUCGUAGAUACACGAUGCGAGUUAUGUGGUCUCACAAGGUUACUAAGAUGUACAUGUAUAAAACCAUUAUUUUGAUAGCCUAAAGGCUUAUACAUAUAAAGAUAUUA